This 481-nucleotide ribosomal RNA is filed under the name uncultured bacterium. Its description in RNAcentral is "bacterial SSU rRNA". It matches the Rfam family "Bacterial small subunit ribosomal RNA", at positions 903 to 1397 of the family's 1533-position model. The record is from RNAcentral.
AAAGGAAUUGACGGGGACCCGCACAAGCAGCGGAGCGUGUGGUUUAAUUCGAGGCUACGCGAAGAACCUUACCAGGGUUUGACAUGCAAGUAGUAGUGAAGCGAAAGUGGAACGAUCCUUCGGGAAGCUUGCACAGGUGAUGCAUGGCUGUCGUCAGCUCGUGCCGUGAGGUGUUUGGUUAAGUCCACUAACGAGCGCAACCCUUAUCGCCAGUUACACGUGUCUGGCGAGACUGCCGGUCUUAAGCCGGAGGAAGGUGGGGAUGACGUCAAGUCAGCAUGUCCCUUAUAUCCUGGGCUACACACACGCUACAAUGGCCGGUACAGUAGGGUGCUAAGCCGCGAGGCGGAGCCAAUCCACAAAACCGGUCUCAGUUCGGAUUGCAGGCUGCAACUCGCCUGCAUGAAGUCGGAGUUGCUAGUAACCGCAGGACAGCUAUACUGCGGUGAAUACGUUCCCGGGUCUUGUACACACCGCCCGU